GGACCCGUAGCCCAGACAGGAUUAAGGCGUCGGCCUUCGGAGCCGGAGAUCGAGGGUUCAAAUCCCUCCGGGUCCG
Molecule: transfer RNA, 76 nt
Filed under: Candidatus Bathyarchaeota archaeon
Lineage: Archaea; Thermoproteati; Candidatus Bathyarchaeota
Description: tRNA-Arg
Rfam family: tRNA
About the family: Transfer RNA (tRNA) molecules are approximately 80 nucleotides in length. Their secondary structure includes four short double-helical elements and three loops (D, anti-codon, and T loops).
Source: RNAcentral